UGAGUACGAGAUGCUACGGCAUCGAAGCAGUCUAUGUCAUACUUCCAAGAAAAGCUUGCACUGUCAGAAACAGAUAAUGCCUGUACCAUAACCGACACAGGUGGGUAGGUAGAGUAUACUAAGGGGCGCGAGAUAACUCUCUCUAAGGAACUCGGCAAAAUGACUCCGUAACUUCGGGAGAAGGAGUGCCUUAUUUUUAAGGUUGCAAUAACAAGAUCCAAGCAACUGUUUACCAAAAACACAGGUCUCCGCUAAGUCGUAAGACGAUGUAUGGGGGCUGACGCCUGCCCAGUGCCAGAAGGUUAAAGAAGUCGGUUAGCAUUCGCGAAGCUGGUAACUGAAGCCCUGGUGAACGGCGGCCGUAACCAUAACGGUCCUAAGGUAGCGAAAUUCCUUGUCGGGUAAGUUCCGACCCGCACGAAAGGCGUAAUGAUUUGGAUACUGUCUCGGAGAGGGGCUCGGUGAAAUAGACUUGUCUGUGAAGAUGCGGACUACCUGCACCUGGACAGAAAGACCCUAUGAAGCUUUACUGUAACUUGAAAUUGAAAUUGGACUUUAUUUGCGCAGUAUAGGUGGGAGGCGUUGAAAAUAUUCUUGCGGGAAUAUUGGAGCCAUCAGUGAGAUACCACUCUUGUAAUGUUAGAUUUCUAACUUUAUAUCAUUAUCUGGUUAAAGAACAGUUUCAGGCGGGCAGUUUGACUGGGGCGGUCGCCUCCCAAAUGGUAACGGAGGCGCACAAAGGUUUCCUCUGAACGGGUAGAAAUCGUAUCUAGAGUGUAAAGGCAUAAGGAAGCUUGACUGUGAGACCUACAAGUCGAGCAGGGACGAAAGUCGGUCUUAGUGAUCUGACGGUGCUGAGUGGAAAGGCCGUCACUCAACGGAUAAAAGUUACUCUAGGAUAACAGGCUGAUCUCCCCCAAGAGUUCACAUCGACGGGGAGGUUUGGCACCUCGAUGUCGGCUCAUCGCAUCCUGGGGCGGUAGUACGUCCCAAGGGUUGGGCUGUUCGCCCAUGAAAGCGGUACGCGAGCUGGGUUCAGAACGUCGUGAGACAGUUCGGUCCAUAUCCGGUGUAGGCGUUAGAAUAUUGAGAGGAGCCUUCUUUAGUACGAGAGGACCGAGAAGGACAUACCUCUGGUGUACCAGUUAUCGUGCCAACGGUAAACGCUGGGUAGCUAUGUAUGGAGUGGAUAACCGCUGAAAGCAUCUAAGUGGGAAGCCCACCUCAAGAUAAGUAUUCUCAUC
RNAcentral lists this ribosomal RNA (1244 nucleotides) under metagenome. RNAcentral describes it as "bacterial LSU rRNA". It matches the Rfam family "Bacterial large subunit ribosomal RNA", at positions 1564 to 2818 of the family's 2925-position model. The record is from RNAcentral.